UUAACUUAAAUUUGUAUGGAGUUGGAAAUUUGCCUACGUAUGCCUCUAGGGGCGCUGUUCCAACUGCAUACAAAUUUGCGUUA
This is a non-coding RNA of Bombyx mori (domestic silkworm), 83 nucleotides long. NCBI's taxonomy places the organism in Eukaryota, Metazoa, Arthropoda, Insecta, Lepidoptera, Bombycidae. The record is from Rfam.